This 257-nucleotide non-coding RNA is filed under the name Eubacterium sp. RNAcentral describes it as "T-box sequence". It matches the Rfam family "T-box leader". From Rfam's summary of the family: Uncharged tRNA acts as the effector for transcription antitermination of genes in the T-box leader family. Lineage: Bacteria; Bacillati; Bacillota; Clostridia; Eubacteriales; Eubacteriaceae. The record is from RNAcentral.
GCAAAAGCAAUGAAGAGGAAUAAUAGGUAUUAACCGGAGUCAGAGAGUUGCCGUGUGGUGCGAGGCAAUGGAAGGAAGAUAUUGAACUCACCUCGGAGCUGCUAUCUGAAAGUAUUAUUAUAUAUGAGUAGGCGUAGCCGGAAGCCAACCGUUAUAUUGGACAGAAUAUAAGGCAGAGAUGUCCGUAUUCAGUGAGUGCACGAUUGAUUCGUGAAUAAGAGUGGUAACGCGUGAGACUAUAGUCUUUCGUCUCUUGA